ACCUUGGUUCAGCCUGGGCUUGGUAGCAUCUCACUCUGCCUGGCUGUCAACAGACCACACAGUGGUGAUGUCUGGUGACCCCACGGCCGUCACACCGGCAGGAACGUCUCUGUUCUCUGAGUGCCUUGAGGCAGCACCCCACAGGGGAGAAGGACCCCCACCCUGGCACCACAUAUUCAGUGAGUACGUGCUGCCGGUGGUCUUACAACCCUCCUCCUCACCCAGCUCAAACGUCACUUCUCCUGGGGAGCCGGCUGAACUCCAUCUCAACGACUCUGUCCCAGGCAGCUAUGGGCCAGGCCUGGCAGUGCCCCCAAGCAGGCUCACCGCCCCCUGGAGCUCCCAGGUGUUCCCAGGAGAUGCUCCUGUAUCCUCCGGUUGCUGCUCGCGUGUGUCUCCUGAGGUCAUGAGUUUCACCUUUAAAUUCUGGAAGAAGAGUCGCUUGCUCCCUGGAUGGUGCCGACACCACUGUGGUUCCGAUAGCAGACUCGUUCUUCUGGCCUCUGAAGUCAUAGUGGAUGUGUCCAGUCCUUAG
Molecule: long non-coding RNA, 535 nt
Filed under: Bos indicus x Bos taurus (hybrid cattle)
Lineage: Eukaryota; Metazoa; Chordata; Mammalia; Artiodactyla; Bovidae
Description: lncRNA (ENSBIXG00000014951.1)
Source: RNAcentral